UAUUAGGUUGGUGCAAAAGUAUUUGCGGGUUUUGUCAUAGUAAUGGCAAAAACUGCAGUUACUUGUGCACCAACCAAAUGCU
Molecule: microRNA precursor, 82 nt
Filed under: Gorilla gorilla gorilla (western lowland gorilla)
Lineage: Eukaryota; Metazoa; Chordata; Mammalia; Primates; Hominidae
Description: miRNA (ENSGGOG00000031201.2)
Source: RNAcentral